This is a long non-coding RNA of Bactrocera tryoni, 231 nucleotides long. RefSeq lists it as uncharacterized. The transcript has 3 exons. The record is from RefSeq and is a predicted model, not a curated record. NCBI's taxonomy places the organism in Eukaryota, Metazoa, Arthropoda, Insecta, Diptera, Tephritidae.
CGAAAAUAUAUCACUGAAGAAAAUUAAAUAUAUCACUGAAAUACAAGGAUAAAUCAGCAAAUAUAAACCAAAAAUGCCGAAAACACCAAUAUGGAAAAAGUGCAUUGUGGGCUUCAGCGAGGGAAACACAGUAUUUAGAUUUCCUAACGAGGAAACGGAUCUCGAACGGUGAUAUAAGCCUAAAGCGUAAUCGAGCACCCAAAAUUAACUUCGGUAACGCGCCGUUUUGCA